AGAGGGCAUCUUCUUGUUUUUAAAAGACCUAGCAAUAGGUAUGCUUAGGGAGGAGCUUGCGUCACAUUAGUUAGUUGGUGGGGUAAAGGCCUAACAAGACUAUGAUGUGUAGCCGGGCUGAGAGGUUGAACGGCCACAUUGGGACUGAGACACGGCCCAAACUCCUACGGGAGGCAGCAGUAGGGAAUUUUCGGCAAUGGAGGAAACUCUGACCGAGCAACGCCGCGUGAACGAUGAAGUAUUUCGGUACGUAAAGUUCUUUUAUUAGGGAAGAAUAAAUGAUGGAAAAAUCAUUCUGACGGUACCUAAUGAAUAAGCCCCGGCUAACUAUGUGCCAGCAGCCGCGGUAAUACAUAGGGGGCAAGCGUUAUCCGGAAUUAUUGGGCGUAAAGGGUGCGUAGGCGGUUAAAUAAGUUUAUGGUCUAAGUGCAAUGCUCAACAUUGUGAUGCUAUAAAAACUGUUUAGCUAGAGUAAGAUAGAGGCAAGUGGAAUUCCAUGUGUAGUGGUAAAAUGCGUAAAUAUAUGGAGGAACACCAGUAGCGAAGGCGGCUUGCUGGGUCUUUACUGACGCUGAGGCACGAAAGCGUGGGGAGCAAACAGGAUUAGAUACCCUGGUAGUCCACGCCGUAAACGAUGAGUACUAAACGUUGGGUAAAACCAGUGUUGAAGUUAACACAUUAAGUACUCCGCCUGAGUAGUACGUACGCAAGUAUGAAACUUAAAGGAAUUGACGGGACUCCGCACAAGCGGUGGAUCAUGUUGUUUAAUUCGAAGGUACCCGAAAAACCUCACCAGGUCUUGACAUGCUUCUGCAAAGCUGUAGAAACACAGUGGAGGUUAUCAGUUGCACAGGUGGUGCAUGGUUGUCGUCAGCUCGUGUCGUGAGAUGUUGGGUUAAGUCCCGCAACGAGCGCAACCCUUAUUGUUAGUUACCAGCACGUAAUGGUGGGGACUUUAGCAAGACUGCCAGUGAUAAAUUGGAGGAAGGUGGGGACGACGUCAAAUCAUCAUGCCCCUUAUGACCUGGGCUACAAACGUGAUACAAUGGCUGUUACAAAGGGUAGCUGAAGCGCAAGUUUUUGGCAAAUCUCAAAAAAACAGUCUCAGUUCGGAUUGAAGUCUGCAACUCGACUUCAUGAAGUUGGAAUCGCUAGUAAUCGCGAAUCAGCAUGUCGCGGUGAAUACGUUCU
This 1191-nucleotide ribosomal RNA is filed under the name 'Apera spica-venti' phytoplasma. Its description in RNAcentral is "bacterial SSU rRNA". It matches the Rfam family "Bacterial small subunit ribosomal RNA", at positions 183 to 1374 of the family's 1533-position model. The record is from RNAcentral. Lineage: Bacteria; Bacillati; Mycoplasmatota; Mollicutes; Acholeplasmatales; Acholeplasmataceae.